This 2128-nucleotide long non-coding RNA is filed under the name Canis lupus familiaris (dog). Its description in RNAcentral is "lncRNA (ENSCAFG00845013543.1)". The record is from RNAcentral. Lineage: Eukaryota; Metazoa; Chordata; Mammalia; Carnivora; Canidae.
CUUUUUUUUUUUUUUUUUUUUUUUUUUUUUUUACAUGCCCUGGACUCAAGUAAGAUAUCCAAUUGCUAUUUCUCUUCUGAGGUUAAAACAGAAAGAAUUUUCUAUAAGGCUUCAUCAAAACAGAAGGUCCCUUCUUUUAUGAUGCUGCCCUUUCUUGAUUCCAGAGAAAGGUUGUGUGGCAGUAUUAUUACUGAACUUGACUGUGGUUUACAGUUGCUAUAAAUAGCCCUCCUUUUAUUUUUCCAAGGAGGGGGUGGAGGAGACCAGCAACACUGCAAUUGUAUUUAUGCCACCAAUCUGCUCUUUUUAGCUAAAUACACAGUAGAAACAACGCGGAGAGCUGAAACGAUCAUCAAAAGGCUCUUAAGUUCUAACACAAACCUCCAAUUUUUUUCACUCAUAAAGUGGAGCUUAAGAUGAUGUUAGUGCUUGAAAAUACAAGUAGACUAGAAGCUAUCAGAAAGACUAUGUUUCCCAUGCCUAGGGAGUAUAAGAGCAAGGAAGAAUCAGAAUGCCAUAGGAUCCAGUGCCAUGUAUUUUGUGGUUACUAGGUUAAAGUUAUGACAGAUACUUGGUUUUUUGCCUCUGCAGCCAUUCCUCCCUCUUUGGUAAACACUACUCCGAUUUUGAUGGGGAACCAUUUCCCCCACCAUUGAUUUUGUUUCCAUUUAGUUUUGGUAGACUUGACCCGACGCCCAGCUCCAGGUAUAGACAAGUGCAACACAUCUGUUGACCAAAAUUCAGGAAUGGUCCAAUAGACCUGUGUACUUUUGCUAGAGCAACUAGCAAAAAUGCUCUAGAGCAACUAGGGAAAUUCUCUUUACCACUGGCCUGGAAACUGGUAAGAUGGUAACCCUGCAGCCGUGAGAACUGAUUUCAUAAGAAAAGCCUUCAGAGAUCAGGGAAAUACAAAUCAAAACCACAGAGAGAUAACACCUCAGAAUGGCUAAAAUUAACUCAAGAAACAGCAGGUGUUGGUGAGGAUGUGGAAAAAGAAGAACCCUCUAAACUGUUGGUGGGAUUGCAAACUGGUCCAGCCACUCUGGAAAACAGUAUGGAGUUCCUCCAAAAGUUAAAAAUAGAGCUACCCUAUGACUUGGCAAUUGCACUACUAGGUAUUUAUCUAAAGGAUACAAACAGUGAUUCAAAGGGGCACAUGCACCCCUGCGUUUAUAGCACCAAUGUCCAUAUAGCCAAAAUAUGCAAAGAGCCCAGAUGUUCAUCGACAGAUGAAUGGAUAAAGAUGUGGUUGGUGUAUAUAUAUAUAUAUAUAUAUAAAUAUAUAUAUAUAUAUGGAAACAAUAUAUAUAUCGUUGUAUUGAUAUAUAUAUCUGUAUAUAUAUAAUUGCUCACUGAAUUGUAAUAAACAAUAUAUCUAUAUCUAUAUAUCUAUAUCUAUAUAUAUAGAUAUAUAUAUCUGGAAACGAUACAAUGUCUCCACAGGAGAAUGGAUAAAUAAAUUGUAGAAUAGUCAUACUAUGGAAUACUACUCUGCAAGAAACAAAAUAAACUACUGACAAGUAUAGCAACAUGGAUAAAUCUUUAAAAAGUACUGAAUGAAAGAAACCGACUCAAAAAAAAAAAAAAAGAACAGUAUUAUGACUCCUUCUAGAUGAAGAUCAAGAACAGGCAAACUAAAUCUAUGAUGAGAAAAAUUAGAACACUAGUUGCCUCUGAGGAGAGGGAUUAUCUGGAGGGGGUACAAGGUACUGUCCAGAUUAAUGGAAUAUACUAUAUCUUUAAUGUAGUGUUGGUUAUAUAGGCAAAGACAUUUGCCAAAACUGCCCAAAUUACUCUUAGGAUCUAUACAUUUUAAUAUAAGUCUAUUUCACCUUUAAAAUAAAUUUAAAAGAGGGACACCCAGGUGGCUCAGCAGUUGAGUGUCUGCCUUAGGCUCAGGGUGCGAUCCCAGGUCCAGGAUAGAGUCCCACAUCAGGCUCCUUGUGUGAGGACUGCUUCUCCCUCUGCCUAUAUAUCUGCUUCCGUGUGUGUGUGUGUGUGUGUGUGUGUGUGUGUGUGUGUCUUGUGAAUGAAUAAAUAAUCAUUUUAAAAAUUAUAAAAAAUUUUUAAAGAGAAAACGCAGAGAAAGAGGAGCAACCAAUCAGACCCCACAAUCCUUAUGGAAACC